RNAcentral lists this long non-coding RNA (7254 nucleotides) under Phoenix dactylifera (date palm). RNAcentral describes it as "long non-coding RNA (PDAC_LNC005280)". Lineage: Eukaryota; Viridiplantae; Streptophyta; Magnoliopsida; Arecales; Arecaceae. The record is from RNAcentral.
GAAGGGGGGCGAACUAGUUUGAACUAGUGUGAAUUGUUCGGUUCAGAGCAAUUCUGGGGUGUUUUCGGAAAAUAGGGCUGAAUUGUCUCAAUUCUGCCCUGAGGAUAUCAUCAAUAAGCAUAAUGAUUUAUCUCAUGUACAAGAAUUUCUAGGAGUACCUAAGAGAAAGUUAGUAAGUCGUCAAGUUAAAAUUCACACAAGACCUCCAUCAGAACAAGUCAUGAACUGGGAGAAUGUGUUCAAAAUGCUUAAUGGAACGAAGUAUGAGCGUUUUCUUCACUAUACUGAUUAUAAUAGUUAGUGUUCACAUAAUUGCUAUCCUGGUUUCUCCUCCUGUUAGCCAAUACUUGUCACAAUUAAUCGGGUUAGCUAUAUUAUUUUUUUGUGGAUUGAUAUUACCAACUGUUACAAGUUACAACAUUGUGUACUAUAAGAUUGAAUGAAAGCACAUAUAAAACAAAACACAGUGGAUAUAUUUUAAAGUGAGAAAAUUUUGCAAAAUUCUUUUAUCAAAAAUAGCUCGGUUUAGUACGAGGUGAAUUAGGUAGUUCGGCCUGAUUCGGCGGACUAUGAUUUCACCUUUCAAAUACUAAGAUACUUCUUAAAUUUUAAAGUUUCAUGAAUACUAUUAUACGUAAUCAUUACUAAAACCCAAAUACUUUGCCAACAAAGUUCUAUAAAUUAGUCUUUAAAGCAGGUCACCUAAAAUGAUGUUUAACAACAUAUAUCACUUCAACAAACUAGUUUAUUUCCAAUUUUGCAUAAUAUAUAUAUAUAUAUGUAUGUUUUUUUUAAUAAAUUAUAAGUUGCUUUAUUACAAAAAUUAUAGCUUGUAUACAUUCUUUAAGAGAACCCUCAGUUAUUGAGUGUUGAUAAUAAUUACAGAUUUUGGAUUUAUAGUUAUGCAACCAUGGAGAAUGCUCAUUUAAGAAAUAUGUCAAUAAAUAGGCAAAUUUCAAAAAAAUGAUUCAGUUAUUUCAUGAACUAUUUCUAAAUAAUCAUGAGUUAUUCAGUAAAAGUUGCUUGUAACUUCAUUUAUGAAAUUUAUUAUCUUGGUGUAAAGUUUGCAAAAUAACUUGUUAUGAAAAUUUUUGAGAAUCUUGAAUUGUUUUUUUAUAGAGUUUUAUCACUAGAGCUAUUGGAACAACAGGAAUAGGAAAGGCAUAAAGGCUUGUAGAGCAAGGAUUGUAGAAGCAGUACCGACAUGCAUCCUGGUCAGCGACCGGUACAGUACGGUACCGGUCCAUACUGUACUGAAUUGUGAUGUACUAGAACCACAGGGAGGGAUUCUAUGAUCGAAGGGAUUCUAUGAUCCAUGAUACAGAUUUGUUUAAUGAUUAGUUGAUUCGGAUCGAAGGUUGAGUUUUGGAUCGUUUGGGGUCUUUUUGAUCUGAAUGUAAGUUCUAGAUCAUGGAUCUUAAGAUUUUAAUACUAAUGGGCAAAGUACGCCAUCUCGGUACCGUGCCCCGUACCAGUGCCAUCCUGUUACUGUGUCGAUACGUUUGGUACAGGGGUCGGUUUGGCGUACUGAGUGUCAAUAUACCCUUUGUACUACAUACCGAUACCAAAUCAGUAUGGUACCAUACUCCGUACCAUCUAGUUUGGUAUGGUAUUGUACACCUUGGUAACGGCCUUCAUGGACCUUUCACCUUUUUCUUGUUAUUUUGGGGAAUGGAACAUUUCCCUAUUCAUUUUCACAAUCUGUAUUAAACCUUUGAAUUACUUGUUGUAAAAAGAAGAAUAAACUCUGUAGGCUCAAGUAUUUUAUAUGCCCGUCUUACAUAAAUUAACCUCAUUUGUAUAUUUGAUUUUGACUUCUUGAGCGUGUUUUGGGUGGUUGGCCAAGCAUAAUGCAUGUUUUUUUAUUUAUUUAAGUAUUAUCAUGUAGAAAUGUUAUCUCAUAAUAUCUGAUACAUACAUUAUUUGUUUUCUAAUGAUCUAUUGCAUUUUUAUUACAGGGAGUUCUCCAACAUCCCAAAGAAAUACUUGACUACUUCAAUUUAAACGGUGUUUCUGUGAUAUUUCUCUUCCGGAGGAAUCUCCUGCGUAGGCUCAUCUCUGUGCUAGCUAAUGAUUAUGACAGACAUGCAAAGCAGUUAAAUGGAACUCACAAGUCACAUGUCCAUUCAAAGGAAGAGGUCACCCCCUCCCCCCAGACCCACAAAAACACACACAAGAUGUUAUUAUACGAUCCAUACUGUUGUGCUGUUUGUGUUUAUGUUUUCAUCCCAUAAUUUACCAUCUUCACACUAAAUGUUCUUGCAAGCUUGAGAGAUAAUAGUUCAUGAAAGAAAACUCUCAUGGCCUAAUAUGUACAAAGAUAUCAUACUAUAUUAUAAACUUCAGAAUUUAUAUGAGCACAUAGCUUAGCAUUCAAAACUGAUUUUAUAUAAAAACCCUUGAAAUAUAUAUAUUAUGAAUAAGUUCUCACGUUUUAGUAAAAAGAAAAAUAGUGGACGAAAAGGCAUAUUCACAUGUAACCUCCUCAAAAUUAAUUUCCUUAGGUCCUUGAGGUGUUUUGCAUAAAAAAGUAGUAUAACUGGAGUUAAGUAAUGAACUUCCCAUUUCUAUUUGUACCUGCACCUCAACAUUCUUGGGUUGUAUGUCAACUUGCCUUUCCACCACAGAUGGGCACUUUGUGCUGAAUAAUUAGUUUAAAAUGGUGCAAUUUGUGUCACUAUUGCUAUUAGGGGUAUACUUUUGGAAGGUCUGUGAUUUGACAGGCUCAAGGACAAAGAAGACAUCUACCUCUUAUUAUAUCAUCAAAGAGAAGGUAUAGUGAGCACUGUUCUCAUGGAGUUGUAGUAGGAUAAAUUUUGUCAUGAUUGUUAUUAAUAAUAUUGCAUGAUGCUUUAUUUCACAUGGUCAAGAUAUCAAGAAACUGUGUCGAUGUUCAUGAAUUCAAUUUUUGGACACAUGUGAGGGGAACUUUUGUUGUUACCUAUACAUUAAGCAAUCCACUGUGUAGAGGUAUAAGUGUGACCUUCACCUAUAUUAAGUAUUCAAAAUAUGGCUGUGUUAACAAUUUGCCACAGCUAUGGACUUUAGUAAUAUAUAGAUUAUGAUAAUAACACAAAAAGGAUUAUGAAUAACUUAGUGAAAUAUACAGACAUAAUAUUCAUAGUCUAUUUAAGCUUGCCAUGAUGAAGACUCUUUGAUUUGGUGCUGGUAGUAGUCAUUUACCUUGAUCUAAUAUCGUUGCUCAAAUGAUUUGGUGGUUAAAUGAAUUUGUUUUAUCAAAUAUUAUUUACUUUUCUUGGUAAUGGUAGCUAAAACAUAAUUCAAUAAUCAAAUAGUUACAUAACAUUGCUUGGCGAUCUACUUGUGAUAGGUUGUUCUUCGGAGCCUUUAUUUGUAUUAGCAUCUUCUAGAUCCAGAGAUGGAAAGGGACUUGAUGGGACUUUGGCAACUUUUAGGAUGUUGAACUUUAGAGUUUAGAACAAGGUUCAUUGUACCGGUAUUGAGAGACCCUCUUCUCAUGCCCAUCCAUGAUAUUACCCAAAAUCGGCAAGUGCCGAUCAAUACAACAUGAAACUAGGUGAAACCAGUCAGUGUUACCUAGUAUAGGCUGGUUUGCCCCUUGCAUGAUACUAGUACCUUACCGGUACAAUACAAUAAGCUUUGGUACUAGACAGUAAAGGCUGGUUUGGCAAACCAUGGUUUAGAAAGACCUGCCUCUCCCCAUGGGAUGGAGUGUUUAGGGAUUGCUGUAGAUAUCAUGUCUCAUGACUCAAAACUUAUUCAGAUCUUGAGGGGUGGCUAUCAUAGUCGAUCAGAAUAUUGAACCAUCUUUAAAAUAGGUUGUGAAAUCACUCAGAGCAUUCACAAGGUAUUGUCUGAAAAGCCAUACAAUCAUAUUGACUUCCUUGCUGUGUGUAACUCAAGUCAACUUAACUAAAACUUAGUUUCAAUCAUUUUUUUUCAUGUCCAUAGGAUGUGACAAUAGUUUUAUGCUAGGUGUCAACCUGACUGCAUCCCUUCUCCUUUAUUCGGGCUUGGAUUGGCCAUGUAUGAAGUAUUAUACAUAGUUGGAGUUUUCCCUACUGGGCGUAGAAGCCUCCAAAAUGUUAGCUCAAUGUGUUCUUUAUCAUUCGAUUUGUUGCAAAGGAGUAUAUGAAGUGAUUAUCGAGAAGCACUUGCUAAAACCACUUGUAUAUAGUUUCUUUUGUUUUUCUCCGUUCCUUGCAAUGCAUCUUUAGUCUAAUGAGGUGCCAAGUUGAUUAGCAAAUAUACAUCAUAAAACAUUGUUAAUGAAGAAGAAAAGGAGGCCUAUGUAUAGGUUUUUAUCGAAGCUGGUGCUGAUGUGUCAUGGGGUGAGUGUUUUCUCCUUAUCCACACCCCAUGUAGUGACCCAACCUGAAAGUCUGGACCAGUCAAGUCCUUCACUGUGCAAUAUUCCAUCUGCAUGACCAAGCAUGCACCUUUAUUUUUCUUGCCUGGCAACCCUGUCAAACCUACCUCCUGCAACAUCCCCAAGUGCCUGUAAGAAACUUGACCCAUGAGUCAAUGGCAACACUUAUGCUCAUGUCUGUGUCUCAAUUGCUGUCCCUAGGACUGCUUUGCAACUAAGCAUCUCUAUACUAUUUCAAGGUCUUGCCUUUUAAGCUUGUAUUACUCAGUCUCAAACAUCUUUGCAUCAGCACUAUUACCCCCAGGCAAUUAUCUAUCCACUGUCCUCUAAUAUUGUAUGUCGACAAGCGAAGCUGCCAAGCCAACAUGUCCUGUAGGUCUACGAGCCACAGAUGGCUGUGCACAUCCAAGCCCACCAGGUUUUGGCUAUCCAGCCACCCACAAGCACUUAUGCCACAGUCUUGGUCUUGCAUCCUUGAUAUUACUCCAUACAUAGCUGUACCACCCAAAAAUGUUGUCCAUAGCCUGCUUGCAAACUAUUGCACUUUGCUAUAGAAUUUUUUGUCCAAGUUCAUUCAUCGAGUAAAAUUUCGUCAGCUACAACACCUCCAUGCAACCCAUUGUCCAAGCCAAAUGUGGGUGGUGAUUCAAUGAUGCUUUCAGGCGAAGAAAGUAGAAUCCUUUCGUGCAAAAGAUACAACCCGUUCCACAUCUACUAUUGCGUGCGUGCUCAUUGGGAAGGGAAAAAUGUAAACAUGUGACUGGCUGAGCUCAUGCUCAUAGGGAUGAAAAAACAGAAGAAGAAAAGGAGCCCCACAAACCUGUCUUCCUCCCUCCAUCCCGGCGACGGUGGCUGAGCCAAAGACGACCAUCAUCAGAAAAAAAAGGUAGGGCUUAACCUCCCUUUUGUUCCUCCUCCCUCCGGUCAACGAGCUGAAGCAUCGUCGGAAAAAACGGGGCUGAAGGCAUGUCCUGACUAGGAUGGCCAUAUCAGUACAUGACCCAUCCGGGAUGAAGGUGGGAUGGUCGGGAUAGAGGAUGGAAGUGCCUUUCGGGGUUCCACACUCGUUCCACAUGCCGUAAUCUCACUAGAACGGGAUAAGAUGUCUGGGACAGCCCCCAUCCCACCGGGAUUUCAAUUCUAGCACCUAAUUUUGUUUAGUAGAAUUUACAUUUUUCUCUCCGAGUCAUUAUACAGAUUUCCAUAUUUGAGCCUUCUCUUUAAAACAAACUCCUAAAGAACUUAAUUCUCAAAAAUCAAAAAAUUUUUUCUAGGAAAAUAAUAUUUUCUUGAUUUUAAAAAGUUAUACUUCGCUUCACAAUCUUACAAAUAGUUGUUUUUGUUAUGCUUUAUUAUUAGAUUGCAGAAUAUCUCUUUUCUGAACAUGUUUCAGUAUUGUGUUACACAUAUGUCAUCAUCUAUUGGACAAUUCAUUUGUGCAACGAAAUGUCUUCUUUAUGAUCUCAGUAAGUUUUUCAUGCUAAAGAACUACUAAUUUAUGUAGUUUAUUGACUGCUGGAAUACUUCUUUUUCCUUCUUGAGUUGUUUUCUUAAAAAUUUAUGUUGGAUCAAGUAUCGCAUUUAUCUUAAAUUUUUGCUAGCAUUGGCUUUAUCUGGUUGUAUCGUUUUCAUGUGCUUGUUUUGAUUUCUUUUUUCAUAUUCUUAAAAUUGUUUCCAUGUUCUUUUUUCAUGAUUUCUAAAUGAUAAUAGAAGAUCCUGAUUCAUUGACCAAGUAAAAGAUGGAAGACCUACACCUCAGUCAUAAAUUCGAGGAAGCACUGAACUAGCAAAUAAAAGUCGAUGAGAAGUGGGUACUUCCUAUGACAUUUGCAGGAUCAUCAAGUCAAUCCUUCUUGUGAUCCAUUGUUGUGUGCCUCUCUGACUUCAAGAAAAAAUUAAAGCAUGCUUUAUGUUCUUUUCAUUUUAUUUAUGUAUUGUUCUUUUUCCUAAUUAAGAAUUUAGCAUUUUUAAAUUUGUAAAGUUAAUCCAUUUGUUAAGAAAAUGAAUUGCUUGCAUCCUUUGACCUUUUACUAUCUCAUUACUUUUAAUUAUCUGCUACUGGUAGUGUCUUUUCUAUUUUUUCCUGUAGGGACGAGUUUAUCGUACAUCAUCAUUGUAGAAUAAGAAUGAUCGAAACAACGAUUUAUCCUGGACCGAACCAUAGGUACAAGGAAGCUUUUCGCGUUAAAAAACUGUUAAAUUGGGAAUGCUAUUUUGUGAUAUUUAUGUAAGCAUUUUCCCACUUAAAAAAACAGCAUUAAAUAAAAAGUUCUUUCCAUUUAUUUGCUUUCAUCAUCGGUCAGAUGGACUAGUUUUGUGUUCAAGGUACUGUGAUGUCUUUUAUUUUUUCCCCCUACAUUCAGGACCUUAUAUGGUGUGUAUUUUAGAUGACAUAUCAUCUUCUCAUGGGUUUUGUGAAAUAUCUUUUCCCAGCCACCUUGUUAACCGCUUAACUUUUUGGUGUAUGCUUUAACUGCACAUUUCAGGCUGAGAUACUUGCACGAUUUAAACCCACAAUCAAUAUUGCACUAUUGUUAUCCAACCUUGGCCAUGUUGAGAAGACCAUCACAGAUUGCUUGCAGCUUUUCAGCAGUACAAGGCACACAUAAUAUUUAUUAUNNNNNNNNNNNNNNNNNNNNNNNNNNNNNNNNNNNNNNNNNNNNNNNNNNNNNNNNNNNNNNNNNNNNNNNNNNNNNNNNNNNNNNNNNNNNNNNNNNNNNNNNNNNNNNNNCUCAUGUACAAGAAUUUCUAGGAGUACCUAAGAGAAAGUUAGUAAGUCGUCAAGUUAAAAUUCACACAAGACCUCCAUCAGCACAAGUCAUGAACUGGGAGAAUGUGUUCAAAAUGCUUAAUGGAACGAAGUAUGAGCGUUUUCUUCACUAUACUGAUUAUAAUAGUUAGUG